This is a non-coding RNA of Coniochaeta sp. 2T2.1, 95 nucleotides long. NCBI's taxonomy places the organism in Eukaryota, Fungi, Ascomycota, Sordariomycetes, Coniochaetales, Coniochaetaceae. The record is from the annotation of a GenBank genome assembly.
GCCUGUUUGGCGCAGUGGUAGUCGCGUCUCACUUGUACUCUCCAGUUUCUACAAGGGAAAUGAGAAGGUCGCUCGUUCAAUCCGGGCAAUAGGCA